RNAcentral lists this ribosomal RNA (268 nucleotides) under uncultured bacterium. Its description in RNAcentral is "partial 16S ribosomal RNA". It matches the Rfam family "Bacterial small subunit ribosomal RNA", at positions 88 to 354 of the family's 1533-position model. The record is from RNAcentral.
AUGGCGACCGGCGCACGGGUGAGUAACGCGUAUCCAACCUGCCCUUUACUAUGGGACAGCCCGUCGAAAGGCGGAUUAAUACCGUAUGUUGUCAUGUUGAUGCAUAUUUUCAUGACCAAAGGCUUCGGCCGGUAAAGGAUGGGGAUGCGUCUGAUUAGCUUGCCGGCGGGGUAACGGCCCACCGGGGCGACGAUCAGUAGGGGUUCUGAGAGGAAGGUCCCCCACAUUGGAACUGGGACACGGUCCAAACUCCUACGGGAGGCAGCAG